GGACCAUUCCCUGGGGAGCCUGGGCAGUGCCCAGCACCCUCUGGGGGAAGAACCUUUUCCUGAUCUCCAGCCUAACCCUCUCCUGACACCGUUCCAGGCAUUCCCUUGGGUCCUGUCUUGGUCACAGGAGCAGAGAUCGGAGCUGCCCCUUGUGAGGAACUGCAGAUCCCUGAGGUCUCCCGAGACUCCUCUCUUCCAGCUGGACAGACCAAAUGCCCUCAGCUGCUCCUCCAGACCCUUCACCAUCCUCAUGUCCACCCUUUGGACACUCUCCAGCAGCUUCAGACCUUUCAAAGAUUGUGGUGCCCAAACUGCCCCCAAGACUCGAGAGACCCUGAACAGUGUCCCCUGGAACAGAACCAGGUCACCAGCCAGGAUUUUUGUUCGUUUCCCAAUGUGAAGAGGAAAAAAACCCCAAGAGAGGCCGUGACUCACCUUUCCCAGCAACUCGUGGGGAGUGUAGGCUGAGCUGUGUUUGAAGAGCGAGCCAGUCUGGCUGAGGCUGGUCACAACAGCACCUCCACUCUGGAAGGCAGAUCAGAAAUAAAAAUCUUGUUCAUGCUGGUUUAGGAUCAA
Corvus hawaiiensis (hawaiian crow) is the source of this 576-nucleotide long non-coding RNA. RefSeq lists it as uncharacterized. The record is from RefSeq and is a predicted model, not a curated record. The transcript has 2 exons. Lineage: Eukaryota; Metazoa; Chordata; Aves; Passeriformes; Corvidae.